UACGUAGGGGGCAAGCGUUGUCCGGAUUUAUUGGGCGUAAAGAGCGUGUAGGCGGUUUGGUAGGUCCGUUGUGAAAACUCGAGGCUCAACCUCGAGACGCCGAUGGAAACCAUCAGACUAGAGUCCGGAAGAGGCGAGUGGAAUUCCUGGUGUAGCGGUGAAAUGCGCAGAUAUCAGGAGGAACACCGAUGGCGAAGGCAGCUCGCUGGGACGGUACUGACGCUGAGGCGCGAAAGCGUGGGGAGCAAACAGG
RNAcentral lists this ribosomal RNA (253 nucleotides) under uncultured bacterium. RNAcentral describes it as "partial 16S ribosomal RNA". It matches the Rfam family "Bacterial small subunit ribosomal RNA", at positions 524 to 776 of the family's 1533-position model. The record is from RNAcentral.